Molecule: long non-coding RNA, 1947 nt
Filed under: Amborella trichopoda
Lineage: Eukaryota; Viridiplantae; Streptophyta; Magnoliopsida; Amborellales; Amborellaceae
Description: long non-coding RNA (ATRI_LNC005075)
Source: RNAcentral
AAAAUAUUAAGGAUCUUCAAGGCAUUAGCUUAACCAGCACCUACAAAAUCCCCACCCAGGUCAUGGCUUAAAGAUUCAAGGAGGUACUUGAUGAAGUUAUGUCCCCACAACAGGAAGCCCAGAUUUCAGUCCUAAUAAAUGGAUCACCGAGGGGUCCUUUGUCAUGCUCUAGACGGAUCAGGAAGGGUGACCCUUGUUUACCUUACUACUUGUGACCACAGCUGAAGCUUUUAGUCCAACAAUUAAGGAGGUCUAUAGAGCAGGAGGCUACGAGGCAUCUUCUGAGGGCUCAUCCUAGUUACCUACAGUAUAUGGCACAAAAGUAUUUUGUGAUCCGGACAUGAAGCACAUGGAUAAAGCUAUGGCUAUUCAUCAGAUGUUUCCAGGCACUUUCCAGAUUGAAGGGCAAUACGUUAAAGACAAACUCACGGGUCUAACAGUGAUUGACCAAGUUCUCAUUCAGCUGGAGAAGAGAGUGAUUUGUGGCACACCGGCACUGAUAGCAUCUGAAAUAAGUGGCGAGGUUUACCCCUCUGCUGAUUUAAGGCCCCCAAUGCAAAAUGGGAUGACAUAAUUGAGAGAUUUCAAGGAAAAUUUACACUGUGGAAGGCUCGGCUCGUCAUUAGGGGUCGCAUAACCCUAAUUAAAUCAAUUUUAUCCAAUCUCUAUAUUCCUUAUCCCUAUGCCCUGUUCCUCCUUCUAUUUCAUGUAGAACAAAGAGGAUGAUGCUUGCUUUCCUAGGAAUGGGGACUCUGAACAAAAAAGACUUCACCUAGUUAAAUGGAAAGUUGCAUGCAGGCCAAAGUGCUAAGUUGGACUAGUAUCAAAGAAGUAAUUAGACAAUGAUGGAGGUUAAGUGACCUUCAAGACACUUACAGAAGGGAGGAUACAGGCAUUGGGUGCUUAUCAAAUUGACCAUGUAAGAGAAAGGUUUAAGAUCAAUAGGAGAAUAGGUGAUGGGAAAACCCUUUCUUGGAAGGAUGUUUGGCUGCAGGUUAUGCCACCAAAAGAGAAGUACCACAAAUAUUUGUGAUAGCCAAUAGUUCUAAUGUGAAGGUUGUUGAUAGCACAAUGGAUCUGGGCACAGGACAGUGUGGAGCCCAUGCUUUAGAAAAGGCCUCGAGAUGCUAAUGGAGUUAGAGGGCAUCUACUACAUGCCCAGUAGGGAAGAUCAAAUGAGUUGGGCCCCUAACAGCCAUAAUGAGUUUUCUAGUAUAUCAUCCUACAAUAACCUCAUUCUGUUAUCCCUUGACAUCAUUUAUCCCAAGGAAACUGGGGCAUGCCCACUCCUUACAGAACAAUAGCCUUUCGUGGCUGGUUUCAUUGGAUAACAAUUGACCAUCUAAUACAUCACAGGUUGCCUAAUACAAAUUAAUGCAUUAUGUGCAAAGAAGAUGUAGAAUUGGUACAAUAUCAUCUGUUCUUAGCUCUUACAUUGCUCCAACAAUUGACCAUCUAAUACAUCACAGGUUGCCUAAUACAAAUUAAUGCAUUAUGUGCAAAGAAGAUGUAGGAUUGGUGCAACAUCAUCUGUUCUUAGUUCUUACAUUACUCCAACAAUUGACCAUCUAAUACAUCACAGGUUGCCUAAUACAAAUUAAUGCAUUAUGUGCAAACAAGAUGUAGGAUCGGUACAACAUCAUCUGUUCUUAGUUAUUACAUUGCUCCAACAAUUGACCAUCUAAUACAUCACAGGUUGCCUAAUGCAUUAUGUGCAAAGAAGAUGUAGGAUUGGUACAACAUCAUCUGUUCUUAGUUCUUACAUUGCUCCUUUGCUGGGAAUAUGUAGGAAGUGCAGUUGGAAUGGUUUGACAUACAAUGGGUACACCAGAACAGAUCGAGGAUUUGGUGAAACAAUGGUUCAUGUUAUGAAGACUGAUUUUAAUUUCUGUGCUGUGGAAAAUAUGCUUGAAUGUAUGGAAACUUACAUAUAAGUCCCAUUUUACU